RNAcentral lists this ribosomal RNA (319 nucleotides) under uncultured eukaryote. RNAcentral's name for it is "partial 18S ribosomal RNA". It matches the Rfam family "Eukaryotic small subunit ribosomal RNA", at positions 1470 to 1796 of the family's 1831-position model. The record is from RNAcentral.
CCCUUAGAUGUUCUGGGCCGCACGCGCGCUACACUGAUGCAUCCAACAAGCACUUUUUACCGAGAGGUGACAAGGAAUCUGUUGAAUAUGCUUCGUGAUGGGAACAAACAAUUGCAAUUUUUUGUUUCGAACGAGGAAUUCCUAGUAAAUGUGAGUCAUCAGCUCGCGUUGAUUACGUCCCUGCCCUUUGUACACACCGCCCGUCGCUCCUACCGAUUGGAUGAUCCGGUGAGUUUGCUAGACAAGCUGUCUGUACGUCGUAUAGUUGGCUGGAAAGGCAAGCAAACCUUAUCAUUUAGAGGAAGGAGAAGUCGUAACA